Molecule: ribosomal RNA, 442 nt
Filed under: uncultured bacterium
Lineage: Bacteria
Description: partial 16S ribosomal RNA
Rfam family: Bacterial small subunit ribosomal RNA
Source: RNAcentral
CCUACGGGGGGCAGCAGUAGGGAAUUUUUCACAAUGGGCGAAAGCCUGAUGGAGCAACGCCGCGUGCAGGAUGAAGGCCUUCGGGUUGUAAACUGCUUUUAUAAGCGAGAAAUAUGAUGGUAACUUAUGAAUAAGGAUCGGCUAACUACGUGCCAGCAGCCGCGGUCAUACGUAGGAUCCGAGCAUUAUCCGGAGUGACUGGGUGUAAAGAGUUGCGUAGGUGGCGUAAUAAGUAGCUAGUGAAAUCUGGUGGCUCAACCAUUCAGACUAUUAGCUAAACUGUUAAGCUCGAGACCGUUAGGGGUAACUGGAAUUUCUAGUGUAGGAGUGAAAUCCGUAGAUAUUAGAAGGAACACCAAUAGCGUAGGCAGGUUGCUGGGACGGUUCUGACACUAAGGCACGAAAGCGUAGGGAGCAAACGGGAUUAGAUACCCUUGUAGUC